GACGAACGCUGGCGGCGUGCUUAACACAUGCAAGUCGAGCGGUAAGGCCCUUUCGGGGUACACGAGCGGCGAACGGGUGAGUAACACGUGGGUGACCUGCCCUCAGCUCUGGGAUAAGCCUGGGAAACCGGGUCUAAUACCGGAUAUGACUCCAUGACGCAUGUUGUGGGGUGGAAAGCCUUGUGCGGCUGAGGAUGGGCCCGCGGCCUAUCAGCUUGUUGGUGGGUGAUGGCCUACCAAGGCGACGACGGGUAGCCGGCCUGAGAGGCGACCGGCCACACUGGGACUGAGACACGGCCCAGACUCCUACGGGAGGCAGCGAGGUGGGGAAUCUUGCGCAAUGGGCGAAAGCCUGACGCAGCGACGCCGCGUGA
RNAcentral lists this ribosomal RNA (374 nucleotides) under uncultured bacterium. RNAcentral's name for it is "bacterial SSU rRNA". It matches the Rfam family "Bacterial small subunit ribosomal RNA", at positions 28 to 404 of the family's 1533-position model. The record is from RNAcentral.